AUUCUUUUAGUAUAAAUUAAUAUAAUUGACUUCCAAUCAAAAGACUCCAAAUUGGAAAAGAAUA
Molecule: transfer RNA, 64 nt
Filed under: Neojurtina typica
Lineage: Eukaryota; Metazoa; Arthropoda; Insecta; Hemiptera; Pentatomidae
Description: tRNA-Gly
Rfam family: tRNA
About the family: Transfer RNA (tRNA) molecules are approximately 80 nucleotides in length. Their secondary structure includes four short double-helical elements and three loops (D, anti-codon, and T loops). Further hydrogen bonds mediate the characteristic L-shaped molecular structure. tRNAs have two regions of fundamental functional importance: the anti-codon, which is responsible for specific mRNA codon recognition, and the 3' end, to which the tRNAs corresponding amino acid is attached (by aminoacyl-tRNA synthetases). tRNAs cope with the degeneracy of the genetic code in two manners: having more than one tRNA (with a specific anti-codon) for a particular amino acid; and 'wobble' base-pairing, i.e. permitting non-standard base-pairing at the 3rd anti-codon position.
Source: RNAcentral